UAAACCUCAAAUAUAUAAACUGAACAACUUGAUUACUUCAUUAACUAUUAUAGCUUUCAAAUUUACUAACACACUCAUUUAAUAUCCCAAACAACCCUAUGACUGAUUGAAAUUAAAAUAACUACUGGAAACCUUUACUAAUCAUGACUUGGUUCUACCAUCCUACAACGAAAAUAACUAACUCAUGUCUAACUAAUAACACUCACACAAAUCGGAGAAAAAUAGUCUCACACAGUCCAAUAUGAAUCAAACAGUCCAAACAAUUUAGAAGUAAUCCUAAUUAAAGUCCAAAUCAUUACAGUCGACUAUAAUGAAAACAUCGCAACAAUUGGAGCUUCCAUUAGAAUUAUGCUUCCAUUUCAUUUCAUUUCAGCUGAAGAUCUACAUGAUUCUAAGAUUCAGGAUAGGUACCCGGGUGUUAAAUCACAGUAAGAAGAAGGUAAGAAGAAGCAGCAACAGAGGUUAUAUAACAGCUCAAAUUAGAGUUCACAGCUUCAACAAACAAUAUCAAUACUAAUCUAGAAUUGCAUUCCGAGAGGGACAGUAUCAAUAAUAAACCAAAUGAACUUGAAGAAAACCCAGACAAACUCAGAACUAGACCAGGACCACUUCUGAAAUCAACAGCUAAUAAAAACAGCCUGAAACAGUCUCACUAGAACCCAAACCCACUCGAGAUGCACUCAGGAAUCUCCAGAAAAUUUCAGUAACCAAACUAUAGACUAAAUGUUGCAAAUCAAAUACCGAAAUUCAAAAUCAACCUGAAAACUUUCAAUAGAACUGUUUUUUUGAUUUUCUGUAGUUUCUGUUUUUGUAUUUUUGUUUUCUGUUGGGAUGAACUAAGAUCUAAAGAGCUUUGAAUUUUGAAUUCAAAUUUAAGAUCUGCUGAAAUUAUAUAGACUAUUUUUUGGGCGGAAAUUUAGAGAGUGAAAAACUUGUUGCCUAAGGCACUAUUCAUGCCCUUUUAUAGGCAAAGAUGAUGACUCUAUCAGAUUCUGUAGUUUUUUAACCUAGUCCCUCUUUAUUUUCAGAUUAGUCCUCUAUUUUUUAACUUGCUUCUCAGGUUAACACACUCAUCUUCUGAAAUUUACCUUAACACCCACCUCUAGAAGCUUCUAGGAAGUUCUUGAUAGAUUCCCUACCCUUGAGUACCUAUACCCUUGACUUGGUCCUGAUAUUACUAACCAACCUCCAGCCCUGUUAACUAACCAAACAUCUUGUCUAACUAACUGUAGUUAAACCAGCAUUUCUGAAAAUCGAACAGCUAAAAACCAAACAAAUCCUAAGAGUUGAACUAACAAGGAGAUUAAUUCUAAAAUCAGUAAAUAACCAAGUAAAACAACACUGAAAAUUGAUCUAACCACCAACCAAACAGAGCUUAAACAAAAAUUAAUCUAACUAAUCUAAUUAGCUGACAUUUAAUUCUAAACAAAUAACAAUUACCUAGUAUAGUCCCACAAAGUGGAGUCUGGGGUAAUAUGUAGAUGAGCCUUACCCCUACCCGAAAGGGCAGAGAGGCUGUUUCCAAUAAACUCUAAACAAAUAGAAAUCUCAAAUGUCGUAAAGCUAACACAACAAUGAACUAAUUAAAAUCAAACAUAGCCAAAAAUGAAACCAACUAUGAAGACUAAACGGCCAGAAAUCAAAAAAUGCAAAGCGACAGUUAAACAUGGAACCCUACUAUGGAAUCAAACUGGCAAAUUACUAAAACAAACUAACUAUAUAGUAAAGAAAGAUCAGAACCCUCAAUUGAAAUCCUAAUUCACCACAACGAUAACAAACUUUGAAUAAAAACAAAACGAUAAUAAUAAAAAGCAACUGAAAACAUAGAAGAAAGGUCAAACUCACUGAUUUGAGCCUUCGACUUGACUGAACUUGGAAUUGAUCUUCAAAUGAUAUUAUGUGUUUGUUCUUACCAAGAACAAACACAUAACAUGAUUUUAAAAUCAUUCGAACACCGACUGACACUGAAAAUUCAAGCAACCUUGACAGCAAACCCUAGAUUUGGGAUUCGAAACUUUUUAGUCGGAUUGGGGAAAAUAGCUUGGUGAUUUGGACGUAUGAGAGUUAAGAGAGUAUGGGGUGUGAAUUUGGUAGAUUUUGGAUGAACUUGUAUUUUGGACCGGACCUUUGAUUUAAUAUUCGAAACGUUAGGUUGUGAUUUGAGGAAAACUAUGGCCAGAUUCGAGAUGAGGGAGAAAAGGAGAUUCUAGGGUGUUAUUUUGGUGGGUGUUGGCGUCGGCGCCGCCACCGGAGACGGUGGGGAAUUAGUGGAGGCUCAAUUAGGGUUCUUGUGAAGAGGGUCUGUGAGGGAGACGAUUCGGGGGUAUGGGGGUUUCAGACACUAAUAUAUGAAGGU
RNAcentral lists this long non-coding RNA (2356 nucleotides) under Nicotiana benthamiana. RNAcentral's name for it is "long non-coding RNA (NBEN_LNC037579)". Lineage: Eukaryota; Viridiplantae; Streptophyta; Magnoliopsida; Solanales; Solanaceae. The record is from RNAcentral.